AUUGAACGCUGGCGGCAUGCUUUACACAUGCAAGUCGAACGGUAACAGCACUUCGGUGGCUGACGAGUGGCGAACGGGUGAGUAAUACAUCGGAACGUGCCUAGUAGUGGGGGAUAACUACUCGAAAGAGUAGCUAAUACCGCAUGAGAUCUAAGGAUGAAAGCAGGGGACCUUCGGGCCUUGCGCUACUAGAGCGGCUGAUGGCAGAUUAGGUAGUUGGUGGGAUAAAAGCUUACCAAGCCGACGAUCUGUAGCUGGUCUGAGAGGACGACCAGCCACACUGGGACUGAGCCACGGCCCAGACUCCUACGGGAGGCAGCAGUGGGGAAUUUUGGACAAUGGGCGCAAGCCUGAUCCAGCAAUGCCGCGUGCAGGAUGAAGGCCUUCGGGUUGUAAACUGCUUUUGUACGGAACGAAAAGCCCUCUUCUAAUACAGGAGGGUCAUGACGGUACCGGAAGAAUAAGCACCGGCUAACUACGUG
RNAcentral lists this ribosomal RNA (482 nucleotides) under uncultured bacterium. RNAcentral's name for it is "partial 16S ribosomal RNA". It matches the Rfam family "Bacterial small subunit ribosomal RNA", at positions 30 to 507 of the family's 1533-position model. The record is from RNAcentral.